GAUGAACGCUAGCGGGAGGCUUAACACAUGCAAGUCGUGGGGCAGCAUAAUGUAGCAAUACGUUGAUGGCGACCGGCGCACGGGUGAGUAACGCGUAUGCAACCUACCCUGUACAGGGGGAUAGCCCGGAGAAAUUCGGAUUAAUACCCCAUAAAGAUAUGAGAAGGCAUCUUUUUAUAUUUAAAGUUUCGGCGGUACGGGAUGGGCAUGCGUAACAUUAGCUAGUUGGUAGGUAACGGCCUACCAAGGCAACGAUCGGUAGCUGGUCUGAGAGGAUGAUCAGCCACACUGGGACUGAGACACGGCCCAGACACCUACGGGUGGCAG
Molecule: ribosomal RNA, 327 nt
Filed under: uncultured Bacteroidota bacterium
Lineage: Bacteria; Pseudomonadati; Bacteroidota
Description: bacterial SSU rRNA
Rfam family: Bacterial small subunit ribosomal RNA
Source: RNAcentral